UCCAUAAAAUAAUUUUAACAAAUAUAAUCGUGGACUCGAUUCCGAUUCGAUCCUAUCAUCACCGGAAAAGAUCAGAGGGUUAGGGUUUCGGAGGUCGCGGACUCGCAGAGGGCGAAAAUGGGGAGGGGGAAGGUGCAGCUGAAGCGAAUUGAGGACAAGAUCAGCCGGCAAGUGACGUUCUCGAAGCGGAAGAGCGGGCUGAUGAAGAAGGCUAACGAGCUCGCCGUGCUCUGCGACGUGGAGGUAGCGCUCCUGAUCUUCUCCGACCGAGGCAGGCUCUACGAGUUCUGUAGUGCAGAGAGUCUAGAAGAAAUUCUUGAGCGUUACAGGAUACACGUAGCUGAAGAAGCUGCUGUCCGCAAGAGAGCUGAAGAAGAAAAGCUCAAGACCGAUCUAUCGACACUCGAGACUGAUCCAUCGGUACUCGUCAGAAUGCAGAAAUUUGAGAACGAAGGAACCGGAGCGUUUGAAGGAGAGUUUGAGGAGAAUAUUACGACCAAUCUUGACGUAGGGGAUCGCAAUGACAAACAAUCACAAGAAUUACAACUCUUUCCAAAAUCGAUAACAAAUCAUGGAAUUGAGCAGAAUCUUGCUGACUGUCCUGAUCUUCAGACAAGUGCUAACCCACUGCAAAUGAUUCAAAGGCAUCUUGAUGCACAAAACAUGGAACAGAAAAACAUAACAGAGCUUACACAACUAGAGACAGAACUGGAUGCCAUAUUAAGCGAAAUCAGAUUCAGAAAGACACAGCUAAUGAUGGAAGCUGUGAAAGCAGUCGAUGAAGAGGCACCUUUGAAAAGAAAAACAUGACAGAGCUCACACAACUAGAGAGAGAACUGGAUGACGUAUUAAUACAAAUCAGAUUCAGACAGGUACCUUAACCAACUGCAAGUGUGCGUGCAGUGCAUUCAUGGUCUUCAGAGGAUGUCACCAUAUAGAGAAAUAUGACUGGGCAUGGGCAAUGCCUGCCUUAAGCUACUUAAAGCCAUUUCAAUAUUAACCAAUGGUCUUUGGAUCUAAUGGCAUCUCCUCUUCCCAUUAAGAAGGCUGGAAAAGAGGGGGAAAGAAAGAGAAGAAGAAGAAAAAGAAUAUCUUCAUAGUUUCUUGCAAGCCAGCAGGUAAACAGGACUAAUUUCUUCUUUUAUGUAUUAGUAUUUUCAUUGAAUAUGAUUUAUGCAACCUAGGGACUUGGUAAAUUUUUUUUUUUUUUUUUGUGGGUGGUGGGGGGGAAGUCUCCUUGAAACUAACAUAAAAGUGUUGGUUACUAAACUUGAUUUAGUAAUAUUAAUAUCCAUUUGUAAUUUAUUUGGUCUAAAAGGAAAGGGAAUAAGGGAAUAAUUGUUAUGAAAGUUACAUGAGAUUUUUCAUACAUAUGAUGUACACGAGGGAUUUGAAUACUGGAAGACUAGAAGCAUCCAUUUUAGCUUUUAAAACCCUAUUUACUCUAAUUAUUAUUCUCAAGCGAGUGGAAUUAAAAAUUAUAUUCGUGUGUUUAUCCUUUUCUCCAUUUAUCUUUCUUAGAAUAUUGAUUGUGUUCUAGCCCGCUUGAUUUCCAACACACAGUUCCUCUAAGUUUUCAACUUGAGUGCCAUCAGAAAUGAAGAGUCACUGGAUCUAAGUCCUAUACAUUUAAAAUCUUCUUAAUUGACAAAAGGAAGAAGAAAAGGUACAGAUUUUCACUGAUGUUCUAAGAGGUUGGCCAAAGGACUGCAUAUCAAAAGUCAAAAGCAGCAUACUAAUUCAGGAAAUGGUAGCUAAUGACCUCCUUUUACAGGGAAGUGUGAAUAUUCAAUGAAAAUACUUGUACAGAAAAGAAGAAAUUGGUACUGUUUACCUGCUCGCUUGCAAGAACCCAUUAAGAUAUUCUUUUUCUUCUUCUUCUCUUUCUUUCCCCCUCUUUUCCAGACUUCUUAAUGGGAAGAGGAGAUGCCAUUAGAUCCAAAGACCAUUGGCAACAAAAUUACACAGUUUAUAGAGCCAUGACUUGUGGGAAUUGCUCUGCAAUUUUAUAAGUAUCCAAGUAGAUGGCAUAAACAAUGCGUAGGCGCAGGACUCUUGGCUAUCCGAUAAGCUGGGAAGAAACGGGCUUGAUAUUUUGGAUAUAUAUAUCUUUUCCUUUGGAUAUUUUGGAUAUAUCUUCUUCUCUGUUCUUGGUGAACCGACACAUUCGGAUAUUUUGGAUAUAAAUCUUCUCCUCUGUUCUUGGUGACUGAACCGACACAUUCGGAUAUUUUGGAUAUGUCUUCUCCUCUGUUCUUCUCGACUGAACCAACGCAAUUGGAUAUUGAGAUAGAAUAAUGAUUUUUGCAUGACUCUUACUUAACUCUGGUACAAUUUUAACUAAUUUUUUUUUUUUUUUUUAUGAUUAAUUAUUGAAUUUCUUUUCUUACAUGUAGGCCCUAAAUUUUUAAGGAAAAUGAUUUCUUUCCGAUAACUCGGAUGGAAUAAUGAUUUCUGCACAACAAUUGUACACAGUGUACAACAAAGCUGAUGUGGAAAUGAUUUUCGCUUUUUUUUUUUCUUUUUUUUUUUUUUUCGUGAAAGUGGAAAAAAGAAAGUGUGUACAAUUAUUGUGAUAAUCAUUUUCACAUCAGUUUUGUUAUACAAAGUGUGUAUAAUUGUUGUUCUGGAAACAUUACUCUUUGGAUGUAUCUUCUCCCUUGUUCUUGGUGACAAAAAGGGGAAAUUUUUUUGGGGAUAUUAGUUAGUUAAUCAUUUCUUUCUAACGUGUUAGAAUGAAUAUUAUUCGUGUUUGGUUUAUCUACUAAUAGAUCGGGAUUUAUUUCUAAUUUUGAUUGACUUUGUUCAUUUUAGCGUAUAUAUUAUGAAUGAUAGGAUGGAUUGAUGUGAUUCGUGAUUCAUAUUAUGGUGUAUCUGAAUGGUACCGUCCGUCUGUCAAGUUGUUUUGUGAUAUUGAAACUCUAAUGCAUGCUUCUGAAAUUAAUUUUCUUGCUGUUUCAAUACUUGCCAAUUCCCCAUGCGCGUAAUGUGUUUGUUCAGUGAUUUCAGGAACUAUGCCCAAGAUCAUUUUUGGCCCUCAUUUUGUAGUUUGAUAGGUUGGAUUAUGUCUCGGGGGAUUUUGUAAUCAUAUACGUGUCUGUAAUGGUUUUUAUCACCGAAUGGCUGAACGGGGAGUUUGUUAGGAUUUUAGUUAGCUCGUUUGGUGUCCAAGAUAUAUGGCUUUUGUUUUUUAGGGCAUUGGUAGUUUUUGUACUUGGUUGAAGAAGUGAAAGAUUUCUCAAAGAAGACAAGUACUCAAGCUAAUGUCCGAACAUGGAAGUGACAGAAGGUUAUGUAA
This is an RNA transcript of Alnus glutinosa, 3298 nucleotides long. It is a transcript of the gene named MADS-box transcription factor 14-like, with no coding region annotated. NCBI's taxonomy places the organism in Eukaryota, Viridiplantae, Streptophyta, Magnoliopsida, Fagales, Betulaceae. The record is from RefSeq and is a predicted model, not a curated record. The transcript has 11 exons.